GUUGAUAAGGUUAAGUGAAUAAGGGCGCACGGUGGAUGCCUUGGCACUAGGAGCCGAUGAAGGACGGGACUAACACCGAUAUGCUUUGGGGAGCUGUAAGUAAGCUAUGAUCCAGAGAUUUCCGAAUGGGGGAACCCAAUAUCUUUUAUAGGAUAUUACUUUUCAGUGAAUACAUAGCUGAUUAGAGGUAGACGCAGAGAACUGAAACAUCUUAGUACCUGCAGGAAGAGAAAGAAAAUUCGAUUCCCUGAGUAGCGGCGAGCGAAACGGGAAGAGCCCAAACCAACAAGCUUGCUUGUUGGGGUUGUAGGACUCCAAUAUGGUAGUCUGUUAGUAUAGUUGAAGGAUUUGGAAAAUUCCGCUAAAGAGGGUGAAAGCCCCGUAGACGAAAUGCUGACAACACCUAGGAGGAUCCUGAGUACGGCGGAACACGAGAAAUUCCGUCGGAAUCCGCGGGGACCAUCCCGCAAGGCUAAAUACUCCCUAGUGACCGAUAGUGAACCAGUACCGUGAGGGAAAGGUGAAAAGCACCCCGGAAGGGGAGUGAAAUAGAUCCUGAAACCGUGUGCCUACAACAAGUCAAAGCUCGUUAAUGAGUGAUGGCGUGCCUUUUGUAGAAUGAACCGGCGAGUUACGAUUGCAUGCGAGGUUAAGUCGAAGAGACGGAGCCGCAGCGAAAGCGAGUCUGAAUAGGGCGAAUGAGUAUGUAGUCGUAGACCCGAAACCAUGUGAUCUACCCAUGUCCAGGUUGAAGGUGCGGUAAAACGCACUGGAGGACCGAACCCACGUACGUUGAAAAGUGCGGGGAUGAGGUGUGGGUAGCGGAGAAAUUCCAAACGAACUUGGAGAUAGCUGGUUCUCUCCGAAAUAGCUUUAGGGCUAGCCUCGGAAUUGAGAAUGAUGGAGGUAGAGCACUGUUUGGACUAGGGGCCCAUCUCGGGUUACCGAAUUCAGAUAAACUCCGAAUGCCAUUCAUUUAUAUCCGGGAGUCAGACUGCGAGUGAUAAGAUCCGUAGUCGAAAGGGAAACAGCCCAGACCACCAGCUAAGGUCCCAAAAUAUAUGUUAAGUGGAAAAGGAUGUGGGGUUGCACAGACAACUAGGAUGUUGGCUUAGAAGCAGCCACCAUUUAAAGAGUGCGUAAUAGCUCACUAGUCGAGUGACCCUGCGCCGAAAAUGUACCGGGGCUAAACAUAUUACCGAAGCUGUGGACUACACCAUUA
This 1222-nucleotide ribosomal RNA is filed under the name Enterococcus faecalis. RNAcentral describes it as "partial 23S ribosomal RNA". It matches the Rfam family "Bacterial large subunit ribosomal RNA", at positions 1 to 1217 of the family's 2925-position model. The record is from RNAcentral. Lineage: Bacteria; Bacillati; Bacillota; Bacilli; Lactobacillales; Enterococcaceae.